AGAAGCCCCUGGGAGCUAUUAAGCUCAGCCAUUGGCAGAGUCAUUUUGCACUGCAAACUUCAUUACAGUGAUUCCAGAGACAGUACUUUAAAAUGAACUUUGGAUAAUGUUGCAGUUGAGAGUUUUCUGCACUCAAGAAAUGCACCACAACAGCACAGACUGGGGUGAGACAAGAAGGAGCAGAGGGGCACCAGAAGCAGCCUAGGAAACUUAGAGCGUUGCAAGAAAGAGAGGACUCUAGACUGCGAAACAGCGUGUCCUCUUCGCUGUGCUUGUCAAAAGGAAAUUGUGUAACUCUGGAAUUUUAGAGGUGACUGAGUGACAAUUCUGAGAGGCCAAUGCCAUUGAGAGAAAAGCUUACCGCUACUCGUGGCUCCCCUGGAAGCAGAAGACACAGCACACUAUAGAGGGUCAUGUGGGAAAGCGCCGGAGCAGCUCCAGGCCGGGCUCCCCAGUCUGUCUGCACUCUAGAAGGAGUUUGCCUGGGUUGAUGUCGUCACAUGGGGCAUUCUGUCCUUGUUUAUAGAUUCACUCAGAAAAUUGUAUUAUGGAACACAGUUUCCUUCCCAAGUAUAGAGUUUGAGCAAAAGGGUAAGUAUUCUUUUUUAGAAAUUAAUUUUGUAAUUAAUUUUGUAAAUUAAUUUUAAUUUAUAUUUU
This 657-nucleotide long non-coding RNA is filed under the name Rhinopithecus roxellana (golden snub-nosed monkey). RNAcentral describes it as "lncRNA (ENSRROG00000045989.1)". Lineage: Eukaryota; Metazoa; Chordata; Mammalia; Primates; Cercopithecidae. The record is from RNAcentral.